RNAcentral lists this unclassified non-coding RNA (1634 nucleotides) under Bombus terrestris (buff-tailed bumblebee). RNAcentral's name for it is "misc RNA ENSBTSG00005036857.1". Lineage: Eukaryota; Metazoa; Arthropoda; Insecta; Hymenoptera; Apidae. The record is from RNAcentral.
GAAAAGAGAAAGAGAAGUACACGGACAAGCGGUUGCCGAGUGACUGAACGUGGCUGCGGGUGACUGGGACGCGCGGGGCUGCGAGUUACGACGGCGGGAGAAGCCAGUCGGCGAGUGGGGAUGCAGAGGGGGAGAUGCGGAGAGGAAGUUGCCAAUGGUAGGGGAAGAUCGGAACGGACUGGCGGACCGAGCCGUCAGUCAGUCGUGCUUCGUCGUGGGGAUGAGAUCGCAACGAGAAAUGACGUUGUACGAUCCAACAUUCGCGCGUCGACGGUGACAUGAUAUAAAGACUGCACGCGGUUUGUUCUACAUACACGUUACACGUGUCACGAUCGUGGAUUCAGUUCCGUUUUGUGGCAACUAAUCGUGGAUCAUUCCCGUUUGACGGUACGAGAGGCGUGUUUCCCAGGCUGUGCAACUGUGCGGUGCUAUCCCCGUUUCUCCAUCUUCCGCAUUCCUCGCUUCGAUUGGAGUAUCUCUCUGUGCACGACGAGACCGUAUAUCGACAUCGACGGUUCCACGACAUCGACGGUUCCACGACAACCACGGAGACCAAUAGCAUCAGCGGCACAGUCCCCGAUUCGAUUGAAGGAAAGCUACAGGAACACCAGCUGAAAUCAUCCGAAUUUGGUUAGUGACAGACGGAGGAUGAGUUAAGCGGUACACGAAGAAAAGAAAAGCAAAAGAGAGAGAAAGAGGGACAGAGAACCAAGCACGAGGCUACGUCAUCGACAAAUUUUCCUAGGCAUGCAACUAGCAGCGAGGAUGCAACGGUCGAUGACGUGAAUCGACCGACUUUUCGGUCGAUAACUGCCUGCCACGUCUGAAUGGCUAGCCAACCAUUUGGCUACUGCUGUCGGAGGACUGUCUCGCCAUCGUAUGGAGACCGGAUGGCCGGUGUCUAAGUGCGUUUCCUCCGCGUGGUUCACCGUACGAUAAUCUCGUCUGUAACUGAUACAUUUCUAGAUAUUCCAUUUCCAUCGUCUCAUUCCCAAAUGCUGUUCGUUUACGGCUGAAAUCGUUUCGUCUUCUCUACGAAGUUUCUUCGUAUUCCACUCAUCCAUCAUCGAGUUCGAGUAAAAGAGAGAAAGAGAAAAAGAUAGAUUGGAGAGAGGGAGAGCACAUUGGAGUCCCACGUUGGAGUUUCGCGAGAUAGAAGAAGCGAGAAGCGGAUAGGAACGCGGGAACGGGGGAACGAGCGGCAACGUUUGGAAUAGCAGUUUGUCGAAGGUCGCUGCCGAUCCACGUAAUCAAAAAGUUUCGAACAGAGAGGGGGAAUAGAAAAAGGCUAGUUCGGAUAAUCUCGAAGCGGAGAGGGAAACGAAGUGAAUGGUGGGUUUGUUUUUGUUUGUUAAUCGUACAUCGAAGGUAAGUGGGCACAUACUACGGAGGUUGUGUCCGCGUUCGCGAGGCGGAUGAGGACAAAGUGGACGAUAAACGCGGAACUCACCGAUUCUAUAUACGUCGCCCUUGAUUCAGAGGACAGCCACGUGUACCGUACACCUUCACGAUCAUCGGUAUCACAAGAAUCACGUUGAUUUCCCCACUAACAGCCACAUGACUUGACGAUCGCCCCACCUACCGCUGUUCGUCGUUGAGCGAAAGCGGCGACAGUGGCAGCAACGUCACCGACG